RNAcentral lists this ribosomal RNA (254 nucleotides) under uncultured bacterium. Its description in RNAcentral is "partial 16S ribosomal RNA". It matches the Rfam family "Bacterial small subunit ribosomal RNA", at positions 524 to 776 of the family's 1533-position model. The record is from RNAcentral.
GACGAGCCACACGAACGUUAUUCGGAAUUACUGGGCUUAAAGGGUGCGUAGGCGGUGCGGAAAGUUGGGUGUGAAAUCCCUCGGCUCAACCGAGGAACUGCGCCCCAAAACUACCGUACUCGAGGAAGAUAGAGGUGAGCGGAACUUACGGUGGAGCGGUGAAAUGCGUUGAUAUCGUAAGGAACACCCGUGGCGAAAGCGGCUCACUGGGUCUUCUCUGACGCUGAUGCACGAAAGCUAGGGGAGCAAACGGG